This 368-nucleotide long non-coding RNA is filed under the name Salmo salar (Atlantic salmon). Its description in RNAcentral is "lncRNA (ENSSSAG00000081782.1)". Lineage: Eukaryota; Metazoa; Chordata; Actinopteri; Salmoniformes; Salmonidae. The record is from RNAcentral.
GUCUUAUAGCAAGGCUAUCUCUAUAGAUGUAUCAGUAGGACUGCCAGUCUUAUAGCCAGGCUAUCUCUAUAGAUGUAUCAGUAGGACUGCCAGUCUUAUAGCCAGGCUAUCUCUAUAGAUGUAUCAGUAGGACUGCCAGUCUUAUAGCCAGGCUAUCUCUAUAACACUCUACUGCCAGGUGACGGUAUUAAACAGUGGAAUAACACUCUACUGCCAGGUAUUAAACAGUGGAAUAACACUCUACUGCCAGGCGACGGUAUUAAACAGUGGAAUAACACUCUACUGCCAGGUAUUAAACAGUGGAAUAACACUCUACUGCCAGGUGACGGUAUUAAACAGUGGAAUAACACUCUACUGCCAGGUAUUAA